CCUACGGGUGGCAGCAGUGAGGAAUAUUGGUCAAUGGGCGCGAGCCUGAACCAGCCAAGUCGCGUGAAGGAUGACUGCCCUACGGGUUGUAAACUUCUUUUGUAAAGGAAUAAAGUGAGGCACGUGUGCCUGUUUGUAUGUACUUGAUGAAUAAGGAUCGGCUAACUCCGUGCCAGCAGCCGCGGUAAUACGGAGGAUCCGAGCGUUAUCCGGAUUUAUUGGGUUUAAAGGGAGCGUAGAUGGGUUGUUAAGUCAGUGGUGAAAGUUUGCGGCUCAACCGUAAAAUUGCAAUUGAUACUGGCAGUCUUGAGUACAGGAGAGGUAUGCGGAAUGCGUGGUGUAGCGGUGAAAUGCUUAGAUAUCACGAAGAACUCCGAUUGCGAAGGCAGCGUACUAACUCGCCACUGACAUUGAUGCACGAAAGUGUGGGUAUCAAACAGGAUUAGAUACCCGGGUAGUC
Molecule: ribosomal RNA, 460 nt
Filed under: uncultured bacterium
Lineage: Bacteria
Description: partial 16S ribosomal RNA
Rfam family: Bacterial small subunit ribosomal RNA
Source: RNAcentral